AAGCAAUUUAUGUUCUUAAGACAUUACAUUUGAAAAUUAAAUCGUUACUAACAAAUAAGCCGAAGAUAGGCCUGUUAAUUUUGCUAUACCAAUUAUUACCACAUAAACUCAGUUUGUAAUUUGCCCAAACACAAUAACAUGGAUUAAGGAGGAGGCUGCAGAGGGAUAAAGCAACUUCGAAGGUGCAAUUGCCUAUUCAAUCUCCCCAUGUUGAUAGUGCUUGAAAAAUGAGCACAUUUAAUAACACACGGAGCCAUUAGACUAGUAGCUCAAUGAUGUGCUUAUCUCACACUGCAGCAGGUCAGGGGCUGAUACCCUGAUAACCCUUUUCUCCUGAGAAUUUCUGAAAUACAAAUUAACAAAUGAUAACAAAAGUGCUUCGGCUUCAGGUUAUAUUCAUUUAUACAAAGGUCACUUUCAGCUUGGCUUGUUUGAAACAUGGAUUAUUGUAAUUAAUGACUUUUAGUAACAGAUAUCAAAGAAAAAACAUCAUAAAUAUAACAUCCCCAGGCAUGAAAGAAUCCAAUAGGUGCCACCCUACCUUUGCCAAUGAAUUGCUGCAUCCAUAAUGAACCAUAGCCAAUGCUCACAUACGACAUCAUUUGAAGUUCCCAGUCUAAAAAUAGUAAUCUUAAAUAUGCACUUCUAAAUAUCCACUAAGGCUGCGGGCGUGUCUGGACUAUGUAGAUAUCUUUUCCAAUCACACAGCCCUCCACAUCUUGUGGACACCCAAAUUUCCUCUCCAAGAAAAACCCAACAGCACAGAGACGCUGACCAAGAUGACGACGGAAUAUUGGAUCAACUGUUAAUGGUUUCUUGCUGUAAUCAACAACCAAACGGAUGAUUUCCCCAUCAGCCGGACCUGCACCAGAUACUAGCAUUUCCUCACUGAAAUUCGCAAAUGCCAGUGUUCGUACAUGUCCAUCAAACUUCCCAGAUGAAAGACGCCAGGGAGUGCCCCGAGUGCCUGAAGCUAGGGUUUCACCAAGCCCAGGGGCAAUCUCGGCCUCAACCAAAUUGUGUUCUUGGUCAGUAGGGCUGAGAGUGUGAAGCACAAAUGAGAGAUCCGGUGAAAGCAUUUCUUGCACCAGAACUGCCAUUGCAGCAUCCUUCUGAGACACACCAGCAGCUUGACGACUUAAAACAGCUCUGCGAGUGUACAGUGAAGCCCAUACUUGGCUUACAGCAUUUGCAAAUACAAUUGGAUUUGAUGGGCUAACAUUAGGAAUAGACUCAUAAAGUCCAGCAGCUGACAGUCCUGCUAGGUCCUCAACAUUGGCACUUGAACGUACAAUUAAACGUGCAUUACCUGGAAAUAUUCGGCCUAUUCCAUCAAUUAUAUCUUUUGGGGGCUGCAAAGAAGAGAUCAGCUCCUGGAGUUGAGAGCACAGUUUGUCAAGUUCACCACCUUCCAAUCUAGCUGUUUCUGUCUGUUCUAGAAGUGACAUGAAUGUUUCCAUGGUUUUACUCUGCUUUAGUGCCAAUUCCAUAGAACCAAAUGGUAUAACUGCCCCCUUGGGCACAUGAAAUGAAGCUGGGACCCCUUGGUCACUAUAAACUUUAUGUGAAACAGCUGCCAAAGAGGCUAAACGACCACAGGCAGCAGCCUUUGCACCAGAAGAAAGUGUAUCUACAUCCGAAAGCAGUAUAACACCUCCAGACGAAAAACCCUGACUUGAAUAACUUUGAAUAGCUGACUCAUGAGAUCCAAAGGAUUCAAUUGUAGGUGUACCGUUACCAGAAAGAUCUUUUCCAAUAAAAUUACCACCAAUGUUACCUGAUGAAUUCAGAGUUAGGUUUACGCCAGUCGAGGAUGCUUCCAACCUCACAUAUUUUCCAGUAAGCCUUUGUAUAUAAUCAACUUUAUCUUCAUCUUCACAUGUCACAAAGACAACCUUCUCUUGCCGGGCCCUAACACCAAGAUGAGAUAAGUGAGGCAGCUCCUGAAGAAGCACAACUCCCACUAUGUUACUACUAGCAGCUGUUACCUCUUCAUCUCCAUCAGCUUUGUUGACCACAAGAAUAACAGGUCCUAUGGUUGAUGGUAAUGAUCCAGGCACAAUGCUCUCAACCUGAAACAAUUUUCCACGAGCAGCUCCAGGUACAAGAACAUCCCAACCCUGAGAACCAAGUGUAUUUCUAACUGCUUUCAAAAACAAGGUACAGAGUUUCGAAACCUGAAAAAUUACCCCAGCACGAAUCUCAGCUUCCGUGUACGUUCUUACACUGUUUUCAGGAAUUCCAAGUGCUUUUCCAAGCAUCUGUACUUUUGGUGGAAAUAUUUGAAGAAGUGUUUCAGAAUAUUCCUCAGUUAGCCUUCUUGCUCUAUCAAGAGUAGCUUUCAGCCUCAGUGCCCAAAUUAUUUUGCCAUCCUCACUUCCUUCCUUUUCAAAGAGACCUUUCUCUUGCCAGGCAAGGAGCUCAGAUUCAAUAGCUGCACAUUCAUCUGGCUUCCAACCAGACAAACUCAGCUGGUGAACACCAAAAAUGAGGGCACCAAGUGGGUCAUUCCAAGAGCUUACAUUCUUUAAUUCCACAUUGUCUGAAAGCCACUUAGCCCCUCCCACAUUUUCAAGUGCGUUGAGCAACCUGCUUAGGAGAACAAAAGAAUAGUCCUCGAGGCCAAUUUCACAAAGACGCCAUUUUUGUCGCAUAGCUAUUGCAGCAUCAGGAGCAUCAUUCCUAAGACCACUCUCAAGACCCUCUACAAUUAUAUUUCUUAAAGCAUUCAGAGAUCGUAAGGUCGUGAUCAGUUGAAAAUUAUUGCUGGAUUCUUCAGAAGUAUCCAAGUUCUUUUUACAUUCCAAAAACAAUGUAAGAGCCGAUAAACCUCUUUCAUCCAAGGAUUCUCUAAUUGAUUCAAGUUGCUCCGCAAGACUUUACGCUUACACAUGAGUCCAGCCCAAAGGUCUGAGCAAGGUAUUUUUCCAAAGUUAAAUUUGAGUUGUGCCACAAGGAAAUCUCUUGCCUAUGCCCAUCUCAAGUAAUAGUCAGGCCCCCUUCAAGUUGGGCCAAAGGGAAAAAUCACCUUCCCAAACAGGUGUCUUUGAUCACUUUCCCAGCCUUCCGGCAUUGAAGAAAUCUUUGAGUUCAUGAUGGAAUAUCUUGAAUUGUUCUACAAAUGCUUCACUAUAUUCACCAGGGUUGUUGGUAAUUCUUGCAAGCAUUGCUUCUGUAGCAACUAAAUCUUCAGGGCCAGCAUUGCGGUGAAGCUUGUUUUGUAUAGUGUGUUUGAUUUCUUGCUUGAGAUCAUGAGGGAUAUCACCCCGAUGAGCAAUAUCUCUAAUUCGAGUUAAAGGGACAGAUGCCGUAAAUUCUGCUUUAAAAGAUGGCAAGCAUGGAUGGAUCUUUCGGAUAACAAGUAUUUCCUUGGGCGAAGUAUCUUUUCUGCAAGAAAUUUGUUCCAACCCCCGAAAUAUAAGGCUGGAAAUUUCAGCAUGCCGGUUUGGUCGGUGAUGACCUCCAUCUUCAAAGCAAGGAAUUUGUCCAGUGUUUAUCCACUUCAGAUAUAUAGCAGAGUAUAUGAGAGCUUCCAAUCGGUCUGCAGUCUCAAAACUUCCAACCAAUAGCUGCCGUACAACUUCAAGCUUUCUCCACCAGUUCCUUGCAUUCCGAUCACCUUCAACUAGUGUUAAAGCCAGCCCCUCAAGGUCUGAAGUGUCCCAUAGUCUUUCAGUUUCGCUAUGCCGGAGCUCAUUGGAUCGCAUGAAUGAGAUAGCCUUCCCUUGCCACUGCCCAACAAAAGGACUAGUCUCCACCUCCAAAAGAGUGGCAGCACUAACAGAUCCAUUCUCAUCCACAUCCUCCACUUCCACCUCAUUCUCUUCCAAAUUCAAAGGCAACAGAUUCAUAGGCUCCAAAGUUGCAUUCCAUUGGCAGACCAUCACAUAACUUCCUCUUUUUGGCAGUUUCAAGAUCCGGUUAUCCCCACCUUCCCAUACCAUACUCUUGUCCUUCCUCACAACAACAAACUUAUACUGAAUAGACUCACCCCCUCUUAACUCCACAUCACAAACCCAUCCAGACUCUGUCCAAUUCAUUGGCACCUUCUUCUUCCACAGACCUAAUUCUUUGGCAGACCCUAAAAUCACUACAUGCUCACCAAAUUCAACUUGGUGAUCUAGCCGAACGUUAAGCUGAACCUUUCCAUUCCCCGACUUCGAUUUGGCUUUUUGCAUCUUCUUCUCUCCCUCUCUUGUUUCAGUAGGAGAAACACCGCAAAUGAUUCUAUGAAUGGUGCUUGAUCGAUAGCGAAGAGGAAAAGAAAUCCCAGGAUUACGAAGAGCAUGGAAGAAAUUCAAUCGCUUUCCGUGGAAAUUGAGUCUGGGGGAAGAAUUAGAGAGGUGCAAUACACGCAGAGAAUCCAUUUCUGUGAAGAGAAAGAUUGAAAUACCGUGAGAGAAGCAGAAACUAAUUAUUGCAGUUUGAGAAAGUGGAGGAGAACGGUUUGAGAAUUUUCAUCGCGCCACGUGCUGAGUCACGAAACGAACAAAUACCCAAGACCAAUCUCACAAAAUUAUAUCUUCU
This 4527-nucleotide unclassified non-coding RNA is filed under the name Hevea brasiliensis (rubber tree). The record is from RNAcentral. Lineage: Eukaryota; Viridiplantae; Streptophyta; Magnoliopsida; Malpighiales; Euphorbiaceae.